Molecule: long non-coding RNA, 432 nt
Filed under: Mytilus galloprovincialis (Mediterranean mussel)
Lineage: Eukaryota; Metazoa; Mollusca; Bivalvia; Mytilida; Mytilidae
Source: RNAcentral
UGCCAUUUUUUUCAAAUUUUGAGCUCUAGUUUCAGAUUUUUGAACAUAGCGCCUUUCGAUACCUUGCGCAAAAGAAGCGCCUGUUUCUCCUCUACAAGACCUAUAUAGUCAUACCCCGUGACACCCCUCAUUAUUUUUCUCUAGAAGCCCUAGGCCGAUCCGUUUCUGCAUAUGUGUAUUUUAAUUAAACAAUGACCCAAUGUGCUAUAUUUUACAGGGUAGGACUACUUUUACAUACGUUCUAAAUUGAAGAGGGUGCAUUGGUGGCCCUACACCUACAAAUAAUCCGUUGAUAGAUGCAGAGAUAUUGUGGUACUGAAUAUUAGCCUAAAAAGAGAUGUGACUUGUUUUAUCAAUAGAUGGGAUAAAAACCAUUUCAAAAUUGAGUUAAAAUUGCUAUAUUUUAACGGAUUUUCUGCCUUUUGAAAUUUU